RNAcentral lists this unclassified non-coding RNA (317 nucleotides) under uncultured fungus. Its description in RNAcentral is "partial contains 5.8S ribosomal RNA, internal transcribed spacer 2, and large subunit ribosomal RNA". RNAcentral also lists the same sequence under 1 other name. Lineage: Eukaryota; Fungi. The record is from RNAcentral.
AACGCACCUUGCGCCCUUUGGACAUUCCGAAGGGCAUGCCUGUUUGAGUAUCAUGAACACCUCAACUCUUUAUGGUCUUCCAUGAUGAGCUUGGACUUUGGGGGGUUUUGCUGGCCUACAGUCAGCUCCUCUAAAAUGAAUCAGCUUGCCAGUGUUUGGUGGGUAUCAUGGGUGUGAUAACUAUCUACGCUCAUGGUUUUCCACCAGAUAACCUUCAGCGGUGGAGGUUCACUGGAGCUCAUAGAUGUCUCUCCUCAGUGAGGACAGCCCUUUGAAUGUUUGAUCUCAAAUCAGGUAGGACUACCCGCUGAACUUAA